GAUGAACGCUGGCGGCGUGCCUAAUACAUGCAAGUCGAGCGAACAGACGAGUAUCUUGCUCCUCUGACGUUAGCGUCGGACGUGUUAGUAACACGUGGAUAACCUACCUAUAAGACUGGGAUAACUUCGGGAAACCGGAUCUAAUACCGGUGAAUAUAUUGAACCGCAUGGUUCAAUAGUGAAAGACGGUGUUGCUGUCACUUAUAGAUUGAUCCGCGCCGCAUUAGAUAGUUCGUAAUGUAACGGCUUACCAAGGCAACGAUGCGGAGCCGCCCUGAGAGGGUCGUCGGACACCCUGCAACUGAGAGACGGUCCAGACUCCGACGGGAGGCAGCAGUAGGGAAUCUUCCGCAAUGCGCGAAAGCCUGAUGGAGCACCGUCGCGGGAGUGAUGAUGGUCUUCGGAUCGUAAAACUAUGUAAUUAGGGAAGAAGAAAUGUGUAAGUAACAAUGCACGUAUUGACGGUACCUAAUCAGAAAGCCACGGCUAACUACGUG
Molecule: ribosomal RNA, 497 nt
Filed under: uncultured bacterium
Lineage: Bacteria
Description: partial 16S ribosomal RNA
Rfam family: Bacterial small subunit ribosomal RNA
Source: RNAcentral